GAUGAAGAACGCAGCGAAAUGCGAUAAGUAAUGCGAAUUGCAGAAUCCGUGAGUCAUCGAAUCUUUGAACGCACAUUGCGCCCGCCAGUAUUCUGGCGGGCAUGCCUGUUCGAGCGUCAUUUCAACCAUCAAGCCCCCGGCUUGUGUUGGGGACCUGCGGCUGCCGCAGGCCCUGAAAACCAGUGGCGGGCUCGCUAGUCACUCCGAGCGUAGUAAUACAUCUCGCUCAGGGCGUGCUGCGGGUUCCGGCCGUUAAAAAGCCUUAUUUACCCAAGGUUGACCUCGGAUCAGGUAGGAAGACCCGCUGAACUUAAGCAUAUCAAUAAGCGGAGGA
Molecule: unclassified non-coding RNA, 334 nt
Filed under: soil metagenome
Description: partial contains 5.8S ribosomal RNA, internal transcribed spacer 2, and large subunit ribosomal RNA
Rfam family: 5.8S ribosomal RNA (bases 1-119)
Source: RNAcentral